Tachysurus fulvidraco (yellow catfish) is the source of this 1494-nucleotide long non-coding RNA. RefSeq lists it as uncharacterized. NCBI's taxonomy places the organism in Eukaryota, Metazoa, Chordata, Actinopteri, Siluriformes, Bagridae. The transcript is spliced from 3 exons. The record is from RefSeq and is a predicted model, not a curated record.
GUGCAACAGAGGAAAAAACAAGGGAAUGUUAGUAAAAUCUACAGAAUAUAGAAUAGUUUAGAAUAAGAUAUGGAAUUUAUGAUGACACGUUCUUAAUAAAGUGAAUGGUGAAUGUAGUAUCCCCUUGCCAACAAAGGCAUUAUCCACAAAUGGUAACAUACCCUAUAACUGUAAUCACAUCCUGUAAUUUGAAUGAGUAGCUGGUCACUUAAUUAAUGGCAUUUGUGGAAUCAGGAAUAUGUUUCUAAAGACAUCACUAUUGACCUGUGUAAUGACACAUGACAACAGUGCCACACUCUGGGUAUAAAAUCCAAGAGGAAUUAGACGGUGCAUAGCGCAUAAGCCUGGGGGCACAUGUCUAAACACAGAUCUAAGAAAAUAGCAGAGGAAAUGGGAGGGCCUCUAGAGGGAGAACAUGGGGAAGACUGUAAUGAUUGAGCUCAGGGGAUUGUCUAAAUGGCUGCAACCCAUGCUCAGCUUCAGCGCCCUGACAGCAGCGCAAGUUAAUUUCCUAUUUUCUCCUCGGCCCUGCUUCCUCUUUAAUUCACGCUCAUUAGACUGGGCUCCCUUUGAGCUUGUCUUACUGUCCACACCGGUAUGAGCGAAUGCACCAGGGUCAGACAGACAAAAGACAAGGCAUGCAUGACAGCAGUGUUUGCACUUCCGUGUAAUAUGUUCAAUUAUCUUUGAACAAUGCAGCUCAUUUGUGCACCACUAAAGGAAGCAGUCAGCCUUCCCAGGUUUGUAUUGCAAAUAAGGAGCAGGUGUAAAAUAUAAUUAACAAUCAGCUUGGACCUUAGACAUGAGGCAUGGUGAACACGGAUUUUAUUGUACCAAAGAACUGAGUGGAAGAAGACUAAAUCUGCUGAAAGAAAGCUAACUAUAUAUGCCACCCCGGACCUCCCAGUGUUCUGAGUUCCUAGCCCGAUCGUCUCUUCUUAUGGAGCGAUUUCAUCAAUCCUGAUGUUCUACUGCUGUCUUGCCAGUCAUCCAUCUCCAUCAGUCAAAAGCCACAGCGAGAAGUGAGGAUGCUACACUACUGCUGUAGGUUCUGGACAUUCUGAAGCAAGAUGAAUUAGAGAAUCAGACAUUUGGACAGAUGGGGGAUGGAAGGAGAUAAUGAAGGAGGGAGGAAAUGAGAAAUUGAUGGAGGAUUAAAUUAUUUGACAGGCACUACAGUCAUUACACGGCCGUUGUACAUCAGCAUAAGCAGGACAUUGUAAACCUCAGGAGCAUCUACACACUUUUGUUGUCAGAAAAAUAUGACUCACUGCAGAACUACAGUAAGUUACAUAAAGCCCUGCUAUGUAAUUAACAAUAAUGACAGGAAUAAAUCAUCUUUGUGGUUUGAUGAUUAAUUUAUCAAAAAAUGUGUGGAAGACUGGGAAAUCCAUUGACUUUUCAAAUUUUGACAUUUUGUUGUUUUUUUUUGGCCUUAUAUAUAGUUUUGGAUUAGUUCUUUAAAAAUUAAGAAUUGUUACGACCAAAACAAAA